RNAcentral lists this long non-coding RNA (574 nucleotides) under Nicotiana tabacum (common tobacco). RNAcentral describes it as "long non-coding RNA (NTAB_LNC013573)". The record is from RNAcentral. Lineage: Eukaryota; Viridiplantae; Streptophyta; Magnoliopsida; Solanales; Solanaceae.
AACCCAAGCACCGCCACAUCCACCGCCACGCUCGCCGGAAACUACCACAAGCAACAAUCGAAAUCACAGCCUACAUGGAUCAUCCCCGUUUCCGUUUCUGUCCCCGACUAUGUAUUGCAUUAUCACACCCACGUUGUGGGCCCCAACCAGUGUUGCUCCGCCGUUGUACAAGCCAUCUCCGCCCCAAUCGACACCGUCUGGUCCCUCGUCCGCCGCUUCGAUAACCCGCAAGCAUACAAGCACUUUCUUAAAAGCUGCCACGUCAUUGACGGCGAUGGUAACGUCGGUAGCUUGAGGGAAGUUCGCGUUGUUUCUGGACUUCCUGCGGCUUCUAGUACGGAGAGGCUGGAGAUUUUAGACGAUGAAAAACACGUGCUCAGCUUUAGUGUCGUCGGCGGCGAUCAUCGGCUUAACAAUUACCGAUCGGUGACGACGCUGCACACGGCGGAUGAUGACGAGAAUAUGACUAUGGUGGUGGAGUCGUACGAGGUUGAUGUUCCACAAGGGAAUACAAAGGAAGAAACAUGUGUUUUUGUGGAUACAAUUGUGCGGUGCAAUUUGCAGUCACUGGCGC